Molecule: transfer RNA, 69 nt
Filed under: Marmota monax (woodchuck)
Lineage: Eukaryota; Metazoa; Chordata; Mammalia; Rodentia; Sciuridae
Description: tRNA.Ala
Source: RNAcentral
UGAGUGCAGUUCAGUGGUAGAGCACAUGCUUAGCAUGCACUGGGUCCUGGGUUCAAUCCCCAGAACCAA